RNAcentral lists this ribosomal RNA (480 nucleotides) under uncultured bacterium. RNAcentral describes it as "bacterial SSU rRNA". It matches the Rfam family "Bacterial small subunit ribosomal RNA", at positions 28 to 507 of the family's 1533-position model. The record is from RNAcentral.
GACGAACGCUGGCGGCGUGCCUAACACAUGCAAGUCGAACGGGGUUAAUGUGGAAGUUCCUUCGGGGACGGAAGCAUUAACUUAGUGGCGAACGGGUGAGUAACGCGUGAGAAACCUGCCUCUCAGUGGGGGACAACAGUUGGAAACGACUGCUAAUACCGCAUAAUGUAUCCGGAGGGCAUCCUCUGGAUACCAAAGCUUUAUGUGCUGAGAGAUGGUCUCGCGUCUGAUUAGCUAGAUGGCGGGGUAACGGCCCACCAUGGCGACGAUCAGUAGCCGGUCUGAGAGGAUGAACGGCCACAUUGGGACUGAGAUACGGCCCAGACUCCUACGGGAGGCAGCAGUGGGGAAUAUUGGGCAAUGGGGGAAACCCUGACCCAGCAACGCCGCGUGAAGGAGAAGGCUUUCGGGUUGUAAACUUCUUUUACCAGGGACGAAGGACGUGACGGUACCUGAGGAGGAAGCUCGGCUAACUACGUG